AGUAAUAACUUAGGUGCUUUUUCCUAAUUUAGAGUAUAUGACUUUUAGUCUCAUCACCAUCUGACUAAUAUUCCUAACAACUUAACUUAGGUUUUCGGACAUUUAUGAAGUAACGAUAAGCUUACGUCUUAGGAGAUAGAUUAAUCUAAAAUGCGUGCAAUUUAACAUAUGAUUUCUACAUAGUUGAAAUAGGUUCGAUUGGCUAGGCCCGAAGUCCAAAAAUGUUACAUAAAUUGACUUGAUUCUUGAUAAUUGAAAUACUAUUCCGUGUCUGAUGAAACUGAAGUCGAAAGAAGAUCAGAAACAUUUGCAUCUGAAACUUUCUUGAGCCGUCCCAUUGAUUUAACUUGUGCAGGGAAUAAAGGAGCAGCAUCAACCCAGCUAAUAGAGCUCACGGGAAAUUUCUUCAUUGGGCAAUCCAUCAAUAUCAGAUGAAGCCGUAAGAGCAGUUUUUUACUUCCAAUAUUCACUCACGAAAUCUCUUUGGCACAUCUAAACUCCUGCAGCUCUUAUAACUGGCUUUGGCCAAAGGGAAACUUUAUUCAUCGUAUUAUCCUGGACUUUUGGUACUGCUAAGAACAUUGGCCGAGUAUUUUACAGAUUAUAAUGUCCUUGCGUAGGCCUCCGCUUCCUCGCCUUGUCCUGAACAAUGUCUCUUGCAUGCGAAAUGCUCAGCAAAUACUUCGUCAUGUAAAUGUUUCUGUUCAUGAUGGUGGUGCACUUGUGCUGACAGGCACCAAUGGCUCAGGCAAAACUACUUUCUUGCGCAUGUUAGCAGGAUUUUCCAAACCAUCAGCAGGUGAGAUACUCUGGAAUGGUCAUGACAUCACAGAAUCUGGCGUUUUCCAUCAGUACAAGCUUCAGCUUAAUUGGCUCUCUCUUAAAGAUGCUAUCAAAGAUAAGUUCACCGUCCUUGACAAUGUUCAGUGGUUUGAAGUUCUUGAAGGCAAGCAAGGAAGGUCUCUGCCUGCUUUGGAGCUUAUGGGGCUUGGACGAUUGGCAAAAGAGAAAGCACGAAUGCUUUCUAUGGGUCAACGAAAAAGGCUGCAGCUAGCAAGGCUGUUAGCAAUUGAUCGGCCAAUUUGGUUACUUGACGAGCCUUCAGUGGCAUUGGACGAUGAUGGGGUGAAAUUGCUAGAAUAUAUAAUUGCAGAGCACAGAAAGAAGGGAGGGAUCGUCAUUGUGGCCACUCAUCUGCCAAUUAAGAUUGACGAUGCAAUGAUCUUAAGAUUGCCGCCAAGGUUCCCAAGGAGGAUGACUUUAGUAGACAUGCUUGAUCGAGGUGGAUUAGAUUGAGGAUAUUGAUGUUCCUAAUCCAUACAUGUGAAAUGGUUUAUUGGAGAAACGUCAUGGAUCAAACAAAAAUCACAAGUAGGACUUCAGACAAAAUGAAGAUUCUUCAUUAAUUGUCACUAGCCUGUGCUCAAGGAAAACCAAAUUAAUUCUUGGGAAGUUGAGGAUAAGUAGUUCAGCAAUCUGCACUUCAUUCUCGCUCUCGCCACAACGCUGGGAAGGUUGGGAUGAGUUUCUUUUUUUUUUUCCCCGUGCUUUUAUCUUUACUAAGGUUGGGCUGUUGGGCGAUAUGUCCAGCAUUCCCAUUUUGUAUCGCAUCAGAGCAAAAUCUGAAUUUGUUAGUGCCUCAAUGUUAGAUGGGAUCUUUAGUUCCUCAAUAUAUUUGCCUCAGUUGCACUGGAAAUCAAUGUCUGUACUUCCACAAUUUUGCACUAAAAGUUACAUCGUAUCAAAGAUGAUGGGAUUUACA
This is an RNA transcript of Coffea arabica (coffee), 1762 nucleotides long. It is a transcript of the gene named ABC transporter I family member 1-like, with no coding region annotated. NCBI's taxonomy places the organism in Eukaryota, Viridiplantae, Streptophyta, Magnoliopsida, Gentianales, Rubiaceae. The record is from RefSeq and is a predicted model, not a curated record.